CUAAUAGCAUAUAUUAAUGUUGUUGCAGUUAAAAAGCUCGUAGUUGAAAUUUAUGGUAUUAUACCUGCGUGAUUUAAAAUUAUGUUUUGAUAUCACGAUUACUGUGAACAAAUUAAAGUGCUUAAAACAGGCUUUGCUUGAAUAAUCUAGCACGGAAUAAUAGAAUAUGACAGAUUUUAUGGUUGUACACAAAAUCUUGUAAUGAUUAACAGAAACAGUUGGGGACAUUCGUAUUUAAUAGCUAGAGGUAAAAUUCUUUGAUUUAUUAAAGACGAACUAAAGCGAAAGCAUUUGUCAAGGAUGUUUNCAUUAA
This 313-nucleotide ribosomal RNA is filed under the name uncultured eukaryote. RNAcentral describes it as "partial 18S ribosomal RNA". It matches the Rfam family "Eukaryotic small subunit ribosomal RNA", at positions 591 to 976 of the family's 1831-position model. The record is from RNAcentral.